Molecule: long non-coding RNA, 2446 nt
Organism: Cynocephalus volans (Philippine flying lemur)
Lineage: Eukaryota; Metazoa; Chordata; Mammalia; Dermoptera; Cynocephalidae
Exons: 3
Source: RefSeq, a predicted model, not a curated record
CGCCCUCGCGCAUGCGCGGCCCAGGUCCGCGCGCGGCGGGCCUGGAGGGAGCCGAGGCGCGGAGGCGGGGCGGGUCUGCGGUGAACUCCCGGGGGCCACGGGCCACGCCACUCUGCCUCCUGCGCAGGGCCGGUGUCGCCCACGCCCGGCGUUGCCAAGCGCGACGUGGACCCCCUUUGUGUCCUGGGGCACUUGGCGGUCACAGCUGUGGUGUCUCUUCAUGGCUCUCGGUCCCACUUCGCGACCGUCCAGCCUGGGUGUCCUCAGUUGUCCUGACUGGGGUUUCUGGAGGGGCCAGCCCCAGAUUGUGAGGCGCAGGGAGUUCCAAGGUCUCCAUGGUAACUACAUGAUCUUGUCCCCUGGGCCCCGAUCCUGGCUCCUAAGGACGGAGCCGCUGUGGUGAGGCAGAGAGGAAUCCCACCCGCAGGACGGCCCGCGUCAACGGGGACCUCUCCGCGGAGCGUCCGAGCCGGGGCGCCGGCCCGAGGGCCCCCGCGGGAUCCUUGCGCUGAGCCGGCCGCCCCGACUGGGACAGCGGCCAGCCUGCGCCAAGCUUCAGGGGAGCGAGCUCCACCUCCCUGGUUCUCUACAGAUUUCCUAGAGCAGCAGAAAAUAAGCCGAUCUCAGGUGCCAUAGUAAGUCGUCCUUCCGCGACUCCCGGAAAUCAGUGCGGCCUGCUGCGUGUAAGCGCUCGUCAGGGGAAGCAGACCAUUUGUGCCAAAGGAGACCGAAACAGCCUGGUCCCCUAGACCCCUUUCUGAUGGUCCCGCUUGAUCCAGGCGUCAAACCUGGGAUAUCUGUAAGAAAGAAUAGACUGUAUCACGCUCAGAUAAUGUCCUUAAAGAUUGUGUAUAAAUGGUACGUACGGCUAAUAGGUUAAAGUUGUAUUUUCUGGCAAAUGUCUCCCCAUUUCCCUUUCACUGUUCCUACCACAUCACUUGCUGGAUCUGUCUGGUCAGGGACUCCAGUGAUCUUAUUAUGGCAAAUGCCGUGGAUCUUUAGUGCUUGCCUUCCGUGAGCAUUCUAUCCAGCUGACAAUGUCCAGUCUCUCCUAGAAUGUCUUCUGGGUUGGCUUCUGGUCUGUUCCUCCCUCGGUGAUGAUUUCUGUUCUGUCUUCUCCACGGAGUCGCCGUCGUCUUCCUGCCUGUCGUCAUCGCUGUUUCCCGGGUGUCCAUUCUUGCUCUCUUAUUGUCCUCACUCUCGUGCUCUUGCUGGCUCUCCUCUCCUCUCUGGGGUUGCACCUCUCCUCUCCUGUCUGUGGAUGCACUAUUUGCUGGGGUGCUUGUCCCUUUUGCUCCAGCCCGUACCUUUCCCUUACCUUAGACCCUAAUCGCCAGCCCUCUGCUUGACAUCUUUUCCAAAGGCCCCUCAAACUCCACAGGUCCCAAGGGAGCGUUUUUAUUUACAGUCCUCCCAUGGAAUAUUAUCAUCAUCCAGCUCGUCACUGCUGUCCUUUAAGUGUUGGGACUUUUGAAUUGUUAAUAUGUUUGUCUGUCUUUGCAGUUGAGGUAAAGAGCACCAAUCCUUUUAUUUGUUUGUUUAUUUAUUGAUUUAUUUAUUGUGAAUAUUCGUGAAAUACAAAGGUAUUUGUCGCCUCUUGUGCUCAUGAUGUGAGGGCCAGAUUCAUAGUGUGGACAUACGCACUAACAGAAAUUACUUUUGUACCCUGUAUCCCCUACCCAGUUGUCACCCAACCUAAGAGACAAAUCCUAAGUGCACAGCUUGAUGAAUUUUCAUAUCCUAAGUACGUGAAUUACUAUCAUCCCGAUCAAGAUGGGGGCAUUUUUUUUCAUUGCCAGAGUCUGCCUUAUGUUCUCUCUAGCCAUUAUGUUGAUCUCUGUUAAAAUAUAUUAGUGUUGUCUGAUUUUAAACUUCAUGUACAUAGAAACAUGCAAUCUAUAUUCUUUUGUGUCUGACUUCUUUUACUCAACAUUAUGUCUGUGAGAUCCCUCGUGCUGUUGUGUGUAGUGGUAAUUUGCUUUUUUUCCCUCUGUAUGAAAUAUGCUACGGUUUGCCCUUUGUGUUCUAUGUGCACAUUUGGGCUGUUUCUAAUUCUGGCUUUUGUACAUGCCUUUUGGUGUAUGUGCACACUUGAUUUCUGAGGGGUAGAAAUCCGGGAGUGGAAUCAGUGGGGUGUAGUACGUGCAUGUGUUUAAGUUCGAUAGAUCCUGCCAAACAGUUUUGCAAAGCAGUUGCACCCCUUGAGACUCUGGCAGCCGGGUGUGCGAGGUCCUGUUACACCACAGCCCGAUCCGCACUUAUAUUGUUAGUGAUGUUGUAUUUUUUUUGCUUUUUUAGUAUUAAGCAGGUGAGUGUAGUGUCGUCUCACGGAGGUUAUAAUUUGCAUCGCUGUAUUGACUGAUGAUGUAGAGCAUCUUUUCAUGCUUCCUGAUAAUUUUGAUAUCUUUUUCAAAGUGUAUGUUUCAGUCUUGCUCAUUAAAAAUAA